RNAcentral lists this ribosomal RNA (254 nucleotides) under uncultured bacterium. RNAcentral describes it as "partial 16S ribosomal RNA". It matches the Rfam family "Bacterial small subunit ribosomal RNA", at positions 524 to 776 of the family's 1533-position model. The record is from RNAcentral.
GACGGAGGGGGCAAGCGUUGUUCGGAAUUAUUGGGCGUAAAGGGCUCGUAGGCGGACCGGUGUGUCUGGCGUGAAAUCUCCACUGCUUAACAGGGAGGGGCCGCUGGAAACUGCCGAUCUUGAGUAUGGUAGAGGACCAUGGAAUUUCGGGUGUAGCGGUGGAAUGCGUAGAUAUCCGAAAGAACACCGGUGGCGAAGGCGGUGGUCUGGACCAAAACUGACACUGAGGCGCGAAAGCCAGGGGAGCAAACGGG